CUAUGUUGAAAUGUCUUGUCUUUCUGUAG
This 29-nucleotide non-coding RNA is filed under the name Cricetulus griseus (Chinese hamster). Lineage: Eukaryota; Metazoa; Chordata; Mammalia; Rodentia; Cricetidae. The record is from RNAcentral.